RNAcentral lists this ribosomal RNA (169 nucleotides) under uncultured bacterium. RNAcentral describes it as "partial 16S ribosomal RNA". It matches the Rfam family "Bacterial small subunit ribosomal RNA", at positions 338 to 524 of the family's 1533-position model. The record is from RNAcentral.
CCUACGGGAGGCAGCAGUGGGGAAUAUUGCGCAAUGGGGGAAACCCUGACGCAGCAACGCCGCGUGAGUGAUGAAGGCUUUCGAGUCGUAAAACUCUGUCUUCGGGGACGAUAAUGACGGUACCCGAGGAGGAAGCCCCGGCUAACUACGUGCCAGCAGCCGCGGUAAU